AAGUCGUAACAAGGUUUCCGUAGGUGAACCUGCGGAAGGAUCAUUACCUUUCAAUACUGAAAAGAGGGGUGCAAGUGGGUUUACUUGCUUGCACUCCUUGCUUCAAGUAUUAUCACCCUUGAUUUUUGCGUACUUAUGUUUCCUCGGCAGGCUUGCCUGCCGAUUGGACAACCUUAUAACCUUUUUAAUUUUCAAUCAGCGUCUGAAAUAAUUUAAUAAUUACAACUUUCAACAACGGAUCUCUUGGUUCUG
Molecule: unclassified non-coding RNA, 252 nt
Filed under: Setomelanomma sp.
Lineage: Eukaryota; Fungi; Ascomycota; Dothideomycetes; Pleosporales; Phaeosphaeriaceae
Description: partial internal transcribed spacer region
Rfam family: Eukaryotic small subunit ribosomal RNA (bases 1-46)
Source: RNAcentral